UAGAAAUAUCAUUCGUAUGACAUCCGUUGAUCAUUUAAAAACAGUUUUUUUCCUAAAAUAUUCAGUAUUUAUAAUUAAGAUAUGAAAAUGCACCUUAAGAUUCACUAUACAGUGCUACAUAUCAAGGUAUAAAAAUAUUAGAAAUAUGUUAAAACGAUUUUGUAUUAAAAUAAAUUCAAUAUUCUGAUUUUGACAAUCCACCAGAUAUAAAAUUUGGAAAAAAACACUUUACAUUUUAUAAUUUUUGAUAUAUAUAAUGACGGAAUGAAAAUUGAAUAAGAUGUCUACUGUAUAUACAUCAUUAAGUUUCUAUAUUAACAAUGGUACUGACAAUACAUUUUUUUACAUUUUCAGUUAAAAAUAUCUAUAAUGAAUUCAUCAUUGGACCGACAGAUGGUGUGAAUUUUUGCUUGGAAUCAUUUAAAGGCUUAAUUAACUACAUGGCUACCUUGAUUUAGUAAAUGUCUAUAAGACACCACCUCUCAAGAAAUCUGUCUAAGAACUUCAAUACUUAGUUUUUCAGAAUCACCUGGGCUGAGUGACUUUUGUUUACAUGGUUGAACAAUGGAAAAAUGUAAAUUAAAUUAUAAUAAUGAAUGAUAUAAUAAUACAUAGAAAUAUCAUUCGUAUGACAUCCGUUGAUCAUUUAAAAACAGUUUUUUUCCUAAAAUAUUCAGUAUUUAUAAUGAAGAUAUGAAAAUCCACCUUAAGAUUCACUAUACAGUGCUACAUAUCAAGUUAAAAAUAUCUGUAAGGAAUUCAUCGUUGGACCGACAGAUGGUGUGAAUGUUUGCUUGGAAUCAUUUAAAGGCUUAAUUAACUACAUGGCUACCUUGAUUUAGUAAAUGUCUAUAAGACACCACCUCUCAAGAAAUCUGUCUAAGAGCUUCAAUACUUGGUUUUUCAGAAUCACCUGGGCUGAGUGACUAUUGUCUACAUGGUUGAACGAUGGAAAAAUGUAAAUUAAAUUAUAAUAAUCAAUGAUAUAUUAAUACAUAGAAAUAUCAUUCGUAUGACAUCCGUUGAUCAUUUAAAAACAGUUUUUUUCCUAAAAUAUUCAGUAUUUAUAAUUAAGAUAUGAAAAUCCACCUUAAGAUUCACUAUACAGUGCUACAUAUCAAGUUAAAAAUAUCUGUAAGGAAUUCAUCGUUGGACCGACAGAUGGUGUGAAUGUUUGCUUGGAAUCAUUUAAAGGCUUAAUUAACUACAUGGCUACCUUGAUUUAGUAAAUGUCUAUAAGACACCACCUCUCAAGAAAUCUGUCCAAGAGCUUCAAUACAUGGUUUUUCAGAAUCACCUGGGCUGAGUGACUAUUGUCUACAUGGUUGAACGAUGGAAAAAUGUAAAUUAAAUUAUAAUAAUCAAUGAUAUAUUAAUACAUAGAAAUAUCAUUCGUAUGACAUCCGUUGAUUAUUUAAAAACAGUUUUUUUCCUAAAAUAUUCAGUAUUUAUAAUUAAGAUAUGAAAAUCCACCUUAAGAUUCACUAUACAGUGCUACAUAUCAAGGUAUAAAAAUAUUAGAAAUAAGUUAAAACGAUUUUGUAUUAAAAUAAAUUCAAUAUUCUGAUUUUGACAAUCCACCAGAUAUAAAAUUUGGAAAAAAAACACUUUACAUUUUAUAAUAUUUGAUAUUUAUAAUGACGGAAUGAAAAUUGAAUAAGAUGUCUACUGUAUAUACAUUAUUAACUUUCUAUAUUAACAAUGGUACUGACAAUACAUUUUUUUUUAUUUUCAGUUAAAAAUAUCUAUAAUGAAUUCAUCAUUGGACCGACAGAUUGUGUGAAUGUUUGCUUGGAAUCAUUUAAAGGCUUAAUUAACUACAUGGCUACCUUGAUUUAGUAAAUGUCUAUAAGGCGAGAUGAAUCAAUUGUCUGAGAAACUAUUUUUUUAAAUUAAUAUCCAUAAAUUGAUUUUUUUAGUUUAAUAAUUUCAUUUUUUCCCUAAAAUUAUAUUUUUCAGAUACCACCUCUCAAGAAAUCUGUCCAAGAACUUCAAUACUUGGUUUUUCAAAAUCACCUGGGCUGAGUGACUAUUGUCUACAUGGUUGAACGAUGGAAAAAUUUAAAAAUAUCUAUAAUGAAUUCAUCGUUGGACCGACAGAUGGUGUGAAUGUUUGCUUGGAAUCAUUUAAAGGCUUAAUUAACUACAUGGCUACCUUGAUUUAGUAAAUGUCUAUAAGACACCACCUCUCAAGAAAUCUGUCCAAGAGCUUCAAUACAUUGUUUUUCAGAAUCACCUGGGCUGAGUGACUAUUGUCUACAUGGUUGAACGAUGGAAAAAUUUAAAAAUAUCUAUAAUGAAUUCAUCGUUGGACCGACAGAUGGUGUGAAUGUUUGCUUGGAAUCAUUUAAAGGCUUAAUUAACUACAUGGCUACCUUGAGCUAGUAAAUGUCUAUAAGACACCACCUCUCAAGAAAUCUGUCCAAGAGCUUCAAUACUUGGUUCUUCAGAAUCACCUGGGCUGAGUGACUAUUGUCUACAUGGUUGAACAAUGGAAAAAUGUAAAUUAAAUUAUAAUAUUCGAUGAUAUAUUAAUACAUAGAAAUAUCAUUCGUAUGACAUCCGUUUAUCAUUUAAAAACAGUUUUUUUCCUAAAAUAUUCAGUAUUUAUAAUGAAGAUAUGAAAAUCCACCUUAAGAUUCACUAUACAGUGCUACAUAUCAAGUUAAAAAUAUCUAUAAUGAAUUCAUCGUUGGACCGACAGAUGGUGUGAAUGUUUGCUUGGAAUCAUUUAAAGGCUUAAUUAACUACAUGGCUACUUUGAUUUAGUAAAUGUCUAUAAGGUGAGAUGAAUCAAUUGUCUGAGGAACUAUUUUUUAAAUUAAUAUCCAUAAAUUGAUUUUUUUAGUUUAAUAAUUUCAUUUUUUCCCUAAAAUUAUAUUUUUCAGAAACCACCUCUUAAGAAAUCUGUCCAAGAGCUUCAAUACUUGGUUUUUCAGAAUCACCUGGGCUGAGUGACUAUUGUCUACAUGGUUGAACGAUGGAAAAAUGUAAAUUAAAUUAUAAUAAUCAAUGAUAUA
Molecule: long non-coding RNA, 3020 nt
Organism: Acyrthosiphon pisum (pea aphid)
Lineage: Eukaryota; Metazoa; Arthropoda; Insecta; Hemiptera; Aphididae
Exons: 11
Source: RefSeq, a predicted model, not a curated record